Molecule: ribosomal RNA, 251 nt
Filed under: uncultured prokaryote
Description: partial 16S rRNA
Rfam family: Bacterial small subunit ribosomal RNA
Source: RNAcentral
ACGAAGGGGGCUAGCGUUGUUCGGAAUCACUGGGCGUAAAGCGUACGUAGGCGGAUCGUUAAGUCAGGGGUGAAAGCCUGGAGCUCAACUCCAGAACUGCCUUUGAUACUGGCGAUCUUGAGUCCGGGAGAGGUGAGUGGAACUGCUAGUGUAGAGGUGAAAUUCGUAGAUAUUAGCAAGAACACCAGUGGCGAAGGCGGCUCACUGGCCCGGUACUGACGCUGAGGUACGAAAGCGUGGGGAGCAAACAG